UCAGUUCGGCUGGAUCGGAGACAGGUGCUGCAUGGCUGUCGUCAGCUCGUGUCGUGAGACUGUUGGGUUAACGUCCCGCAACGAGCGCAACCUUGUCCUUAGUUGCCAUCAUUUAGUUGGGCACUCUAAGGAGACUGCCGGUGUUAAAAAAACCGGGGAAGGUGGGAUGACGUCAAGUCCUCAUGGCCCUUAUGUCCAGGGCUACACACGUGCUACAAUGGCCGGUACAAAGGGCAGCAAAGCCGCGAGGUGGAGCCAAUCCCAGAAAGCCGGUCUCAGUUCGGAUUGGAGUCUGCAACUCGACUCCAUGAAGUUGGAAUCGCUAGUAAUCGCGGAUCAGCAUGCCGCGGUGAAUACGUUCCCGGGCCUU
Molecule: ribosomal RNA, 370 nt
Filed under: uncultured Desulfuromonas sp.
Lineage: Bacteria; Pseudomonadati; Thermodesulfobacteriota; Desulfuromonadia; Desulfuromonadales; Desulfuromonadaceae
Description: bacterial SSU rRNA
Rfam family: Bacterial small subunit ribosomal RNA
Source: RNAcentral